ACUCCGUCGUCGGAAAGCCCCCCGUUCCUGUUUCCCUUUCCUCUUCCCUUUCCCGGCUACAGUCCUCCCUCCUUCUUUCCCUUCUGUCCACCUCCCAUUUUUCUACUGCCACCUCGGGUCUGGGCCAUUUUCCAGGCCGGGCGCACUUCGGUGCGCGGCCCCGGGGCCCAAUAUAUGACCCACAGUCCUGCGACCCCUUGUUUCCCCCGCCCCAUGUGGCUGCGGGGUUGCAGCGGUGCUGCCCACUAUGGCUCAGGGAAGCGCCCGCCUCCUUGGGAGCUGGGAGCAACGCUCAGGGCUUGCAGCAUGGCUGGGAUCACUCACUUCAUAGAAGGAAAAGACUCCCUCCAGUGAAGAGAUCCUUGGUGUACUAUCUGAAGAAUCGGGAAGUCAGGUUCCAUAAUGAAACCAACUACUCUGGAGUGUUGCAUGGUUAUGCAGCACAGCAGCUUCCCAGUCUCCUGAAGGAAAGAGAGUUUCACCUUGGGACCCUUAACAAAGUGUUUGCAUCUCAGUGGUUAAAUCAUAGACAAGUGGUGUGUGGCACAAAAUGCCACACGCUAUUGGUAGUGGAUGUCGACACAAGCCAGAUCACCAAGAUCCCCAUUCUGAAAGACCGGGAACCCAGCAGGGCUGUGGUAUCCAUGCCAUAGAGCUGAAUCCAUCUAGAACACUGCUAGCCAUUGGAGGAGACAACCCUAACAGUCUUGCCAUCUAUGGACUGCCUACACUAGAUCCUGUGUGUGUGGGAGAUGAUGGACACAAGGACUGGAUCUUUUCCAUUGCAUGGAUCAAUGACACCAUGGCUGUAUUUGGUUCAUGUCAUGGUUCUAUGGGACUCUGGGAAGAGACAGAUGAUGUGUUGACCCAAAGUGUUGCAAGACACAAUGUGUCACGGGUUCCUGUGUAUGCACACAUCACUCACAAGGCCUUAAAGGAUAUCCCCAAGGAGGAAACAAACCCUGAUAACUGCAAGGUCCGGGCCCUAGCCUUCAAUAACAAGAACAAGGAAUUGGGAGCAGUAUCUUUGGAUGGCUACUUUCAUCUCUGGAAAGCUGAAAAUACACCGGCUAAGCUCCUCUCUACCAAACUGACAUAUUGCCGUGAGAAUGUGUAUCUAGCCUAUGGUAGUGAAUGGUCAGUGUAUGCAGUGGGCUCCCAAGCUCAUGUCUCCUUCUUGGAUGCACGGCAGCCAUCAUACAACGUCAAGUCUGUCUGCUCCAGGGAGUGAGGCAGUGGAAUCCGGUCAGUGAGUUUCUAUGAGCACAUCAUCACUGUGGGAACAGGGCAGGGCUCCCUGCUGUUCUAUGACAUCCGAGCUCAGAGAUUUCUGGAAGAGAGGCUCUCAGCUUGUAAUGGGUCCAAGCCCAGACUAGCAGGGGAGAAUCUGAAACUAACCACUGGCAAAGGCUGGCUGAAUCAUGAUGAAACCUGGAGAAAUUACUUUUCGGACAUUGAUUUCUUCCCCAAUGCUGUUUACAUGCACUGCUAUGACUCGUUUGGGACGAAACUCUUUGUGGCAGGAGGUCCCCUCCCUUCAGGGCUCCAUGGAAACUAUGCUGGCCUCUGGAGUUAACGACAAUUAACUCUCUUCCAAAAUGCAGAGAUUUACACUAACUUCCAUCCUUAGUUUCCUUGUUUCUUUUCAUUUUUUUUUCCAAUUGUGUGAGGCUCUCGUAUUUUAGAGGGAACACCAAAGUUUGCCUAUGGUUUAGGCACUUGGUAAGACGAAGCUCUGUACAGAAAUCUGAAGGUUGUUGUUUUUCUUUUUUCCCUUUUGGUAAUCAGAAUUUUGCUGUAUUUUUUUCUUUCUGGGUUUUCAGCCAAACAUUGUUCCUAAUCCCUAUUUGUAUUUUUUCUUUAAGUGACACACACUUUCCCCUCUACGGCUUCUUUAGACUGAAAUAACACGGUCAUUCUCACCCUUACUUCAUUCUUGAGAGGUAGGGCUCCUUUAUUAUUAUAUGGUUGCUGUCAGACUUUCUGUGAAAGUUUGGGAGCCAUGUGUGUGUGUGCGC
Molecule: RNA transcript, 2018 nt
Organism: Carlito syrichta (Philippine tarsier)
Lineage: Eukaryota; Metazoa; Chordata; Mammalia; Primates; Tarsiidae
Gene name: DDB1- and CUL4-associated factor 12 pseudogene
Exons: 1
Source: RefSeq, a predicted model, not a curated record